This 224-nucleotide ribosomal RNA is filed under the name Clostridioides difficile. RNAcentral describes it as "partial 16S ribosomal RNA". It matches the Rfam family "Bacterial small subunit ribosomal RNA", at positions 796 to 1019 of the family's 1533-position model. Lineage: Bacteria; Bacillati; Bacillota; Clostridia; Peptostreptococcales; Peptostreptococcaceae. The record is from RNAcentral.
CACGCUGUAAACGAUGAGUACUAGGUGUCGGGGGUUACCCCCUUCGGUGCCGCAGCUAACGCAUUAAGUACUCCGCCUGGGAAGUACGCUCGCAAGGGUGAAACUCAAAGGAAUUGACGGGGACCCGAACAAGUAGCGGAGCAUGUGGUUUAAUUCGAAGCAACGCGAAGAGCCUUACCUAAGCUUGACAUCCCAAUGACAUCUCCUUAAUCGGAGAGUUCCCU